Hipposideros armiger (great roundleaf bat) is the source of this 4343-nucleotide long non-coding RNA. RefSeq lists it as uncharacterized. NCBI's taxonomy places the organism in Eukaryota, Metazoa, Chordata, Mammalia, Chiroptera, Hipposideridae. The record is from RefSeq and is a predicted model, not a curated record. The transcript is spliced from 2 exons.
CUGCGGCGUUGAGUUCCGCGCCUCAUUGUCACCUGCCGUUUGGCGGCGGCGCGGAGGGCUGAGUGUGACCGUCUAGGCCCUUUGUGAGCAAGACGCAGGCCGGAGGCGAUCAGGGCGAGGCGCGUCCGCGGGCUCUGCGCGAGUCCCUGACCUCGCCCGCUCCAAAAGCGUCACCCCUGACGACCACGUUAAGGCUUGGGUUGAACGUUUGUCGAUACGCAUCGCUUUCGCAAUGCUGAAACAAGCGCCUUUCACCGGAAGCGGCCCCGUUGGCCGAGGGCAGGUGGAGCGAGAGCCGUUCCCAGCCCGACCUCUGGUGGUGUUCUCCCGGAAUAGACGCCUUUCCCCAAAAGGCACAACUUCCGGUGCACAAGCCCGUGGGAUGCCGCGUCUUGUCUUCUUGUCCCCCGUCCCCCAGAUGGGGAGCGAGAAUGGGUGUCAUCGGAACAAAACUCGCCUUGUAGUUAUUACGUGGGGCCUGGGGGUUGGUUUUUUGUUGUUGUUGUUUUUUUUAAGCAAAUGAGCAGAAACAAAACCAUCGGAGCCUGCUCCUUACCCGUGAGCACCCUCCCCUAAACUUCGGAUUGAGAGAAGACCUGCCCACGUCUCUUUCAUUCUUCUAAUAACAAAAGCAGCGACAUCAGCUUCUCUUGCGGAGCUCAGGGCUGCCACACACCGCGCUGGCCACCUGACCACCCUGUGUCUGAUGGGAUCCUCAUGGCAACCCUACGAAAAGAUACUGUUCCCGUUCUGCAGAUGAAAACACCGGAGUUGUGCAAGACCCCAGCGAGCAAGUGGCGACCUGAGGGUUUACUUAGACCCCGGUGUAUGUCAGGCUCCAAGUUCACACCUUUAGCUCAGGCUCUGGGGAGGUGGGGGUGGGGGUGUGUGACUUGCACACGCUCAGGAGAUGACAGAGGCGCUGCCUGACAGCCCUGCAUGCUGCUUGAGAAUGUAAACCGAGGCCUUGAUCUUGGGAAGAGCCCUCCGCCACCCACAUCCCCGCGCUGCUUCCCCUUCAAUUCCGUCCCAGAAGCCUCCGGAGUGGAGCCUCCGGAGUAUGUUCACAUGGGUCCAUGCAGAAGUCCGUCCUAAGUACUCAAUCUCAAAGGUUACCUGAAAAAUGCCAAUUAAAACCUCCCGUGAGGUCCAUGUCACCUCCUCUAGAGCAGCUAAAAUAAAGACUAGAUGUUGGAGAGCAUGGAGAGCAUAUAUUGGGUUGUCGGAAAAGUCAUGACACAUUUUUUUGCAACGAAAAACAUAGAAAAAAAUACGUCAUGACUUUUCCGACAACCCAAUAGAUCCUUGGUAAGCCGGUGGGGAGUGGAAGAGGAUGCAACGGUUUUGGAAACUCAUGUAAAUAUUUCUUUUAAGUAACGCGAGGACUUACCCUGUGAGCACAUCCAUUGGUCACCACUGUAGGCUGCUCAGUUCCAAAUGCACAGGUGCAGACGUCCUCCCCGACCUUUGGAGUCGGGGGUCCAGCAAGUGCCUCCUGGACAUCUCCCCCUGGAGGCCCCACAGCACCUCAGAGUCACCUGCCCAGUAAUGGCGCAUCCCCACCGUCCCCUAACCUGGAUUGCUGUGCUGGGGCUCGGGUCAGAUCCUGCCCUUUUCAGCUCUUUCCUUGUGAACUGGCUUGGGGGUGGGGGAAGUCUGGCCGCUGGGUGCCCUGGCACGACUGGAGAGCAGAACGAAGCAGAAGCAGGGCCAUUUUCUCCCUCUCGGCUUUGAGUGGAGUUCCUGGCAGUGGUUCCAGCUCCAACCGGAGAGGCACUCUGUGGCCCCAGCCUCUCCACAUAAAAGACUUCUUUAAAGAAAGAUUUUAUUGAGCCAAAAAUGCUAACCAAAAUGAAGACGGGUCUUGGGGCAUGAAGUCCAAACCACCAGCAGCAUGGCUAGGUGGGAAAGACGUGCAUACAGGUCCACUGACUUUGGCGUUCGCAAGCAUUUUUAUACGUCAAGCAAGGGGAAGGGGGAAGAAAGACGCAGGUGUCUGCAAGAAUUUGCAUGAGCUGUAGGCAAAGGGGUGGGAGGAGGUGACAUGGGCCAGCUCUGAGAUGGAGUCCGAAAAAAGAAACGUCCACUCCUGCAGCCGAGGCUGGCUGGGAGAAUCUGCAGAAAGACUCACCUGGAAAUUAAUCCAAACUUCCAACGGACAUAGGAGGCCUGUGAGCAGUCUUUUGGUAGCUGGCCCACAGCCAUUAACAGAGUAACAGCUCUAUCUCUACCUGGCGUCUAUAAUUCAAUUUACAACAUCUCUGAAUUUUCUCCUUGUCACUUCCAUCAGGAUGUAAGCAACCCCUGCAUACAUACCCCUGCCCCAUUUUAAAGGCUGUAUGGAGUGGUUUUGGUGUUCCUGGUUGGACCUGCGCCGAUAUAGGACAGAAACCCCACUGGGCCAGCAUUUUGGGCUCCUCUCUCUCUCACCCCAUGUAACUCAUCAGUCAACAGAUUUUACUAAUUUUACCUCUUAAAUAGUCCUCAAACCAUUCCCCCGGCUUCAUCCAGUUGCCCAAGUAACGCCCCAUUCCAUCCAUUGCAUUAUUAAAAUAGCCAAAUGUAUUGCUCAAUCUGCCAAAUAUAUUUUAAAAGGCCUAACUGAAUAUAUUGCACUCGUGUCUGAAACCCUCCUGUCCCCUGAUGCGGAUGGGACAGCCAAGCUCCUCAGCUUGGUCUCUAAUGGCCCCUGGGGGCUGGAUCCUGCCUGCCUUUCUCCCCUCAUCCCUAGUCACGUCCUGCCCUGGGUCCGUCAGCAGAGUAAAUCUCAGUGACCCCAGACUCGCAUCAGGCUGUCUCUGCUCCAGGCUCAGGCUGGUCUUUGGCCUAAAAUUCCCUUUUCCACUUGGCCUUCAACCACCACCUGUGGCAUCACUUCCUCCAAGAAGUCUUCCUGGAUCUCCCCCCUAUCCCUGCCACUAGGUUGGCACUGCCUUGGGCUGGCCUGCACAUUCCACUUAUACAUUCAGUUGGAAUGCUCCCUGGCAUUCUCCUUCCUCUCCUACCAUGACUCUUAAGAGCCAGCACGACGCCUUACUCAUCUGUGUGCAAGUCUAAGCAAAGCAUCCCCACCGCUGUUGGGUAAGCUGCUUCCACCUUAGCCGCAUCUCGGUAAGGCGCCCUGUGGUCCCUAGAGGUGCCGAGGAAGGCGAGCAGGGGCAAGCGCUACUGAAGAGCGGGGCCCGGGAAUCUGCCUCUGCAAGGGCUCAAAUCCCAGCUCCAGGGCUUACUGGCGGGGUGACCAGGUAACUCCGCUUCCUGCACCUGUUUCCUUAUCUAUCAAACUGGGAAGAUGAGAGGACUGAUUUCUCAGAGUUGGCAAGCGUUACAUGAGAGAACGUCUGUAAAACUCUUAGCACGAGUCCUCGCAUGGAGUAAACAUUAGCCAUGACUGGAAUUACUAGAGGUAUUGGAACGAUUUCCUAAGUGGCUGCCCAUGGAAGUCUAGCUGCGGAGUCUCCUGAGCUGGGGGACAGAUCACAAAAGAAAAUGGACAGGACCUGUAAGCCAAAACGAGUUACCCGAGACUGCCCUCCUCUGGAAGCCCACUUACCAGGGUGGAUUUCAGGAGGGUACCCCCAUUCUCUGGUAAGAAUGGCUCACGGGAGCCAUUCCUUCUGGGAGGCUGGAGCUGUGCUCCGUGAUGGUCAGAGGCUGCACAGCCAGCGCCCCAUCGAAACCCAGGGGCCAAGUUUCUAAUCAGAUCCCUUGGGGAUCUUGCUCCUGAUCCUCUCCUCACCCCCGACUCCACUUAAAGGGGCAAAGCAAGACUUAACAACUUUCGGCUUGCUUUAUUUCUAGUUAACACAGCACAACCUCUGCACCCCAUCUUGGAUCCCAUCUUCAAAUCCACUCACCCUUUCUCUGUGACCCCCACCCCGACCCCUGGACACUGCACCAUCCCGCAGGUUCCAGUUUGGAUUCCUCUCAUGUUUUUGUUUUAACUGGAAAGAAAGAUUUCCCCCAGUUGCUACAGAAUGAAAGUGUGUGGAAUUACUGUAGCUCAUGUUUUGGAGGUCUCUUCUUUUCACACUCCAUUUGUUUCUUGGAGAAAACCUGCAAUUAGAGCUAAAUGAUCUCCCCAAAUCAAAGCACCACCUUUCACUGCACGAUGACUGAAGGCACUUGCGUGUGCCAAGGUGCAUUGUGGGUCAGCUCAAAGCUCGAACCCAGAGUUGGAGGUAGGCCUGUUCUUGAAUUUCAAAGUCUUAACGCACAGCCUAUGGUAACAGCACAUGGCCCGUAAUACAACUGACCCCAGCAAAGUAUCUGUAGGUCCACGAUUUUGGUUUCCUUUUUUUUUUUUUUUAAGUUAAGAGUAGGUAAACAUAUACAGGAGAAAG